Molecule: transfer RNA, 62 nt
Filed under: Cordylochernes scorpioides
Lineage: Eukaryota; Metazoa; Arthropoda; Arachnida; Pseudoscorpiones; Chernetidae
Description: tRNA-Ser
Rfam family: tRNA
About the family: Transfer RNA (tRNA) molecules are approximately 80 nucleotides in length. Their secondary structure includes four short double-helical elements and three loops (D, anti-codon, and T loops).
Source: RNAcentral
GCAUUGGUGGUUCAGUGGAAGAAUGCUCGCCUACCACGCGGGUUCGAUUCCCGGCCGAUGCA